GAUGAAGAACGUAGCGAAAUGCGAUACGUAAUGUGAUUUGCAGAAUUCAGUGAAUCAUCGAAUCUUUGAACGCACAUUGCGCCUGCCAGCACUCUGGCAGGCAUGCCUGUUCGAGCGUCAUUUCAACCAUCAAGCCCUAGGCUUGCGUUGGAGCCCUGCGGCUGCCGCAGGCCCCUAAAAGCAGUGGCGGGCUCGCUAUCACACCGAGUGCAGUAGAUUACUCUUCGCUCAGGGCGUGUGGCGGGUUCCAGCCGUGAAACCCCCUACUUCUCAAGGUUGACCUCGGAUCAGGUAGGAAUACCCGCUGAACUUAAGCAUAUCAAUAAGCGGAGA
RNAcentral lists this unclassified non-coding RNA (333 nucleotides) under soil metagenome. RNAcentral describes it as "partial contains 5.8S ribosomal RNA, internal transcribed spacer 2, and large subunit ribosomal RNA". The stretch from base 1 to 120 matches the Rfam family "5.8S ribosomal RNA", at positions 35 to 154 of the family's 154-position model. The record is from RNAcentral.